UUUGAUGCUGCCAGCCCAAACAGAAACACUACCUGGAUGAGCUGCAGCAGGAACAUCUUGAAGGAUUUGGGGAGGAGAAGAGGCAAAGCAAAUGAACAAGUGAGGAAAUAUCAUAAGGGAGAAGAUUUCAGAAGUCAAAAGAAAGACAGGUUACAAGAAACUGGCUCAAGCAGGAGGCAACUGUGACCACC
Long non-coding RNA from Alligator sinensis (Chinese alligator), 191 nucleotides. RefSeq lists it as uncharacterized. The transcript is spliced from 3 exons. The record is from RefSeq and is a predicted model, not a curated record. Lineage: Eukaryota; Metazoa; Chordata; Crocodylia; Alligatoridae.